UACAGAGGUCUCAAGCGUUGUUCGGAUUCAUUGGGCGUAAAGGGUGCGUAGGCGGCGCGGUAAGUCGGGUGUGAAAUUUCGAGGCUUAACUUCGAAACUGCAUUCGAUACUGCCGUGCUUGAGGACUGGAGAGGAGACUGGAAUUUACGGUGUAGCGGUGAAAUGCGUAGAUAUCGUAAGGAACACCAAUGGCGAAGGCAGCACUCUGGGCCGGUACUGACGCUGAGGAGCGAAAGCGUGGGGAGCGAACAGG
Molecule: ribosomal RNA, 253 nt
Filed under: uncultured bacterium
Lineage: Bacteria
Description: partial 16S ribosomal RNA
Rfam family: Bacterial small subunit ribosomal RNA
Source: RNAcentral